Molecule: ribosomal RNA, 594 nt
Filed under: uncultured bacterium
Lineage: Bacteria
Description: bacterial SSU rRNA
Rfam family: Bacterial small subunit ribosomal RNA
Source: RNAcentral
CCUACGGGAGGCAGCAGUGGGGAAUAUUGGACAAUGGGCGAAAGCCUGAUCCAGCAAUGCCGCGUGAGUGAUGAAGGCCUUAGGGUUGUAAAGCUCUUUUACCAGGGAUGAUAAUGACAGUACCUGGAGAAUAAGCUCCGGCUAACUCCGUGCCAGCAGCCGCGGUAAUACGGAGGGAGCUAGCGUUGUUCGGAAUUACUGGGCGUAAAGCGUACGUAGGCGGUUAUUCAAGUCAGAGGUGAAAGCCUGGAGCUCAACUCCAGAACUGCCUUUGAAACUAGAUAGCUAGAAUCUUGGAGAGGUGAGUGGAAUUCCGAGUGUAGAGGUGAAAUUCGUAGAUAUUCGGAAGAACACCAGUGGCGAAGGCGACUCACUGGACAAGUAUUGACGCUGAGGUACGAAAGCGUGGGGAGCAAACGAGGAUUAGAUACCCUGGUAGUCCACGCCGUAAACGAUGAUAACUAGCUGUUCGGGCUCUACGAGCUUGAGUGGCGCAGCUAACGCAUUAAGUUAUCCGCCUGGGGAGUACGGUCGCAAGAUUAAAACUCAAAAGGAAUUGACGGCUGAGACGNGCGAGACGACGACGAGGAGAGG